AUUUAAAACAGCAAAUAUAGACAAAGCAACAGAAAAGACCACUCAGGCAAAAAAAACCUCCAAAAUGGCCAAAUCCAGGCCUGAGUAUGUAUAAAAGAACAUUACAAAUGAGUAAACUAUUAGGGUUUCUGGAAGACGUUGAGUUUGUCCAAGCUAUCUUAUCAUCAGCUCUUGGGUUGCAUAGUUGUUUCAUGUUGUGUAGUUUGGGCAAAGGAAGAUCUCAGAAGGACAAAGCAUGAGGCACAGAAGCAGGAGGGGAAAAGCUGGUGACAACGAGGUCAGGAAAAGGAGUCAGUGGAAUGGAUUGAAGCAAUGUCUUACCAGCAGGAGAGAGUGUGGCCUCCCACAGCUCCUGGGCAGGGGUGAAGCCGGCCGGCCACCUAGGAGCAGCAUUGCCUCUGGCAGGCGGCCCAGUCUCUGGUAGCAUUUGCUGAAAUUGCAUUCACCCGUUGGUAACUUUCUUGCAACCCUCCCCAUUUCUCUUUCCGUGACCCAGAAGUCACUCGCGUGAAAUCAAGGGCUGUAGUUUGAUAUUCUCCUCUCUGUCACAUCACAAAUCGAUAAUUUCAAAAGACCCUGCUAUUAAUGUGAACCAGGAGAACUAUGAAAACAGGGGACAGCCCAGUUGCUGGAGACAAAUUCACAUAGUGAACAAACUGAAAAUGGAAUCAGUUACUAACUUUCCUGUUUUUCUGAAAUUGUUUCACACAAGCUCAGUGCCUGAAACAUCUUUUCAUUGUGUGCAUAUUACAUGCCAUUUCUGCUAUAUUCUUAUGCCCGGCAGUCUGGACUGCUGAAAAUUAAAUGCAUAAUUAGAAUAAUGUACCAUGCAUUGAUGGCUAAAGACCUUUUUUACUUUUAUUUAUUGUCUUGCUAUGAAAGGACCUUUUGUGUUCUGUAAAUUUAUGCAAGUUAAAUAAACAAACCCUUGUCAGGAAGAAUUUCCCCCAUUGUUAGAUUCAUUUACUAUCGCAGUUGCACUGAGAUGCAUUAUGGGCCCAACACCCAGGGCAGAAGCACUGUUCACAAUGACAAGCAAGUCUCGGAGCAGCUUUAUAUCCAAGUUCCAUUUGUCUCACUGUUAGUGACACUCUUUUCUUUGAAGUCAAUGGGAAUGUUAUUUUUCUUUCCAAAAAUGCCUACAUCUCACUUUGGGUGGAAGGAACAUGAACCGCAUUUGAGUAGUUGCCACUCUACCUAACCUACCCCCGAAAAGGCCAUUCUUAGGACAAAUGUAGUACAUUUUCAAAGCUGCCAUAAAAAAAGACAAAAUCUUGCCAUUUGCAAUAAGAUGGAUGAAGCUUGUGGGCAUUGUGCUAAGCAAAACAAGUCAGAGGAAGAUGAAUAGCACAUCAUCUGAGUAUGAUUUCACUCACGUGUGGAAGAUAAACAAACACAUGGACAAAGAGAACACAUGGGUGGUCACCAGAGAAGGGGGUGGGAUGAGGGUGAAAGGAGUAAAGGGGCGCAUGGGUACGGUGACAGUUGGAAACUAGACUGUUGGCGGUGAAUAUGAUGCAGUCUCUACACAAACUGAUACACAAUAAUGUAACCUGAAAUUCACACAAUGUUAUAAGCCAAUGUGACCUCAAUAAAAUACGUUUUCUAAAAAAAAAUCUGCCUUGAAUCUUUCUUUUUCAAAUCCCAAUUGGAAGUAUACGGCUUUCAACACAAAAUGCCUCUCACAGAGAGUGAGUUUAGGAAGAGGUCUUGACCAGGUCAGGCCAGCAGGCAUUGGCUCUUCUGUAGAAGCAGCUCUGAGCCGGUGCCAUCAAAGUUCACUGACUCCAAGUUAGGCCUACACCUGAAGAUUCUGGUCCCAAUCUCUUCAUUUUUACUCUGGCAUCAUUCUUAGAAACGGUGAGGGGCUGGCCUGGUGGCACAGCGGUUAAGCGCGCAUGUUCUGCUUCUUGGUGCCCCGGGGUUCGCCGGUUCAGAUCCCGGGUACGAACAUGGCACCACUUGGCAAGCCAUGCUGUGGC
Equus asinus (donkey) is the source of this 1982-nucleotide long non-coding RNA. The record is from Ensembl. Lineage: Eukaryota; Metazoa; Chordata; Mammalia; Perissodactyla; Equidae.